UUUUGGUGAGUGGCGGACGGGUGAGUAACACGUGGGUAACCUGCCCAAAAGUGGGGGAUAACAUUUGGAAACAAGUGCUAAUACCGCAUAACAACUGCUUUCACAUGAUCGCAGCUUGAAAGAUGGCUCUGCUAUCGCUUUUGGAUGGACCCGCGGCGUAUUAGCUAGUUGGUGAGGUAAUAGCUCACCAAGGCAAUGAUACGUAGCCGACCUGAGAGGGUAAUCGGCCACAUUGGGACUGAGACACGGCCCAAACUCCUACGGGAGGCAGCAGUAGGGAAUCUUCCACAAUGGGCGAAAGCCUGAUGGAGCAAUGCCGCGUGAGUGAAGAAGGUUUUCGGAUCGUAAAACUCUGUUGUUGAAGAAGAACAUGCGUGAGAGUAACUGUUCACGUACUGACGGUAUUCAACCAGAAAGCCACGGCUAACUACGUGCCAGCAGCCGCGGUAAUACGUAG
RNAcentral lists this ribosomal RNA (457 nucleotides) under Lactobacillus sp. RNAcentral describes it as "bacterial SSU rRNA". It matches the Rfam family "Bacterial small subunit ribosomal RNA", at positions 86 to 530 of the family's 1533-position model. Lineage: Bacteria; Bacillati; Bacillota; Bacilli; Lactobacillales; Lactobacillaceae. The record is from RNAcentral.